This is a long non-coding RNA of Medicago truncatula (barrel medic), 1250 nucleotides long. RefSeq lists it as uncharacterized. The record is from RefSeq and is a predicted model, not a curated record. The transcript is spliced from 2 exons. NCBI's taxonomy places the organism in Eukaryota, Viridiplantae, Streptophyta, Magnoliopsida, Fabales, Fabaceae.
ACGUUUCUCUCCACAUACUCUCAAACCAAAACCACUUUCACCAUCAUAUCACUAUCUUGAUCAUCUAAAUAAUUUCUAAGUUCUUCACUCCUCCAAUUUCGUGUGACGUUAAUGGUAAGGUAUUUCCACCAUUUUUCAUAUAUUCCUCCUAUUAGUGGAUUGUCCCUGGUUUGAUCUUUUGAAGCGUUUAAUUCAAAUUCUUGUGAGACCUUAUUGUAGAUCUGGAGAGCUUUAUUCUAGAGCUUGUGUUACAAUAAAAGUGCCUAUGGUGGAGUAACUCCGAAACAUUCCUCUAGCUAUCCAGCAAAAAUACCUAUCAAUGAGGCUAGAGCCGGAACUUCUAUUACUAUCAUGUGGAUUUCACUUUUAGGAAAAUCCCAUCCAGCCUGAACCUGGAGCCUGCAAGGGACUUGACUUAUUUGAAAUAAUUUAUGUAAUCUUACUUAAUGAUAUACUAGUCAUAUUGCAAAAGAAUACAGCCAUACAAUUCAGUAUAAACACAACAUCAACACUAACACAUAAUAGGGAAACUAAGCAUACAAGUGUCAGUCAAAAUAGUCAUCAAUUAACUUUACAAUUACCCCAGGUCAUAAUAGGGAGACUAUACGAUUACUCCAGGUCGAUCCCACAUUAAUGUCAUCACAUCGGAGACUAAUUUUCAAAUAAACUUAGAUCUCUCAUGGAGUAAUUUUCAAGUAGUCAGUGUAUGCACAAUUGCAAUUACUAAAAAAAGUUGUCCUUGAGCUAACAUUAAUAUGGGAUCAAUGUGAAUCAUGACAUGUCCUAAUAACAAGUCACAUCAUAACCUCUAACAAUAGAGAUAAAAUAAAUUUGAUCGAUGCUUAUGAUUUUGAGGACUAAUUUAUUUUUCACUCUAUAAAUGUUAUUGAAAAAAUAGAUUGUCGAUAUUGAUCAAUCUCCGCCACUGGCAAGACAGAAUUAUGAGAUAUCAAGACUUACAUGAGGUAAAGGCUGGAAUAUCAUUUAGCUGAUCAUGUGAAUCUCUAGCAGAUACUGAACCACUUACACCUGUUAUUCUUCUUAUAUUCCCAUAAAUUGGUUUUCUAAAAUUUGUUCUUCGAGUAUCUUGGCUAAGAAUUUGUUUUGGAGCUAAACUUUCAUCCUUAAAAUUUUCAACAUCAGAUGCCACAAGAUAUUCUUGGUAUAUGUCUGCAUACAAAAAAAAUUACAUAUUUAUCUUUGUACCAUGUGUUAUGCAAAUGCUACAACAUGAAGAAUUUUGUGUUAAA